UACAUAGGGGGCAAGCGUUGUCCGGAUUCAUUGGGCGUAAAGAGCGUGUAGGCGGUCCGGUAAGUCCGCUGUGAAAGUCGGGGGCUCAACCCUCGAAUGCCGGUGGAUACUGUCGGGCUAGAGUGCGGAAGAGGCGAGUGGAAUUCCUGGUGUAGCGGUGAAAUGCGCAGAUAUCAGGAGGAACACCGAUUGCGAAGGCAGCUCGCUGGAACGUUACUGACGCUGAGACGCGAAAGCGUGGGGAGCAAACAGG
This 253-nucleotide ribosomal RNA is filed under the name uncultured bacterium. RNAcentral's name for it is "partial 16S ribosomal RNA". It matches the Rfam family "Bacterial small subunit ribosomal RNA", at positions 524 to 776 of the family's 1533-position model. The record is from RNAcentral.